RNAcentral lists this ribosomal RNA (253 nucleotides) under uncultured bacterium. RNAcentral describes it as "partial 16S ribosomal RNA". It matches the Rfam family "Bacterial small subunit ribosomal RNA", at positions 524 to 776 of the family's 1533-position model. The record is from RNAcentral.
GACGAAGGAUCCAAGCGUUAUCCGGAUUUAUUGGGUUUUAAGGGUGCGUAGGCGGAUUGAUAAGUCAGUGGUGAAAGCCUGCAGCUUAACUGCAGAACUACCAUUGAUACUGUCAAUCUUGAAUAUGUUUGAUGUGGGCGGAAUAUGACAUGUAGCGGUGAAAUGCUUAGAUAUGUCAUAGAACAACGAUUGCGAAGGCAGCUCACAAAGCCAUUAUUGACGCUGAGGCACGAAAGCGUGGGGAUCAAACAGG